GGGCCGGAAGAUGGCGCAGCCCAGUUGCGGCCGGGCCCGUUGGCGCUGGUGGUUCCCGGCUGGGGCUUCCCCGGCUUGAGGGACCUUCGGGGCCGGUGUCCCGGCAGCUCCGGUGUCUCGGUGCCGGCGGAGAUGGACCAGCGCCUGGCUGAGCUGGUGGAAGAGCUCACCACCUCGGGGGAGCCGCGGCUGGAACCCGGCAGGAUGAAGGAGCUGAAGAAGAUCUGCAGGUCGUCGGAGGAGCACAUCAGCCACGCCUACCACCUGCUGGUGACGCGGCUCCAAGAGGAGCACGCCGAGAUGCGCUUCUCCGCCUUCCAGGUGGUGCAGGAGUUGUUCGCCAGGUCCCACCAGUUCAGGACGCUGCUUAUCUCCAACUUCCAGGAGUUCCUGGAGCUCACGGUGGGCAUAGACCACGAGCAGCCGCUUCCCCCGCCCAAGGAGGUGGCGCAGAAGCUGAGGAGAGCGGCCAUCAAGGCAGUGCAGGACUGGCACGAGAAGUACGGGGAGGCCUACAAGCAGCUUUCCCUGGGAUACCACUUCCUAAAGCAGAACAAGAAGGUGGAUUUUCAAGAUGUGCAUGCCAGAACUGUGGCUGAAAGGAGGAGGGAAGAGGAGAAGCAAAAACGACUGGAGAACAUUUACAAAGAAAAAGUCAAAAGAACUGAAAAAGAAAUGGAAGAAAUGUCCCAAGAGAUUGCUGAUACACUGACAGAGAUGGAAAACUGUUUCCAGCUUCUGAUGCCAGAUCCCUUCAAUUUUGGGAUGAAUGACAUUGACCCGGAACUCAGCAAACAAACGUCUGCUAAUGAGGCUGGACCUGCAUCCCCCUUAUCCUCCCAGGGGGAAGUUAACCCAUCCUAUUUGGGGUGCAUGGAUGAUGAACAGCCAUGCUGCAGCAAGGACAUUCUUCCUGUUUCUCAGUGUGUUACACCUGAUGGAACCAAAGAGAUAGAUGAGAAGCCUGAGCAAAAAGAGCUGGAUGGAGGAACAUGCUCGGACAUUCAGCACAGUGGCCCUCCUUUCGAUGAUGAUGAUGAUGAGUACCAGACUUUUGUUAGGAACCAUGGGCUUAUUUCACAUAAAUAUACUCUAGACCUUGAAAUCUCCACAGAUAUAAAAGUGCAAGAGAAUGAUGAUAAUACUGCCAUCAUAAACAGUGUUAUGGAUGCUCACAAACUUCUCAGAAAUAAGUUCUGGCCUUCUGUGCAGUCCUGGAUUCAGCUACUUACCAGAGCAGGAAUCAAUGAUGAUCGGCUAAGAUGUGCCAUUGAACUCAAGAAUAAUUUGGAGACUGCUAUGAAGAAAUACAAGGAAAUGAACAUUUCCUUUAAAGCAAGAAAAAGAAAAGUGAUGAAAGCCUCAGAUGAUGAUGACGAUGAUGAGGAUGAAGAUGAAUUUGUGGAGGUCCCUGAGAAGGAAGGUUAUGAGCCCCACAUUCCAGACCACCUGCGUAAGGAAUAUGGGCUUGAACCCCAGUCACCUCCCCAAGGCCCGGUGGUGAAGGUGUCAUCAGGAGCAGCUCUGCCGAGCUCCCGCACUCAGCUCAAAGGGAACGAGGAUGAACUCGAUCCAACCUGUGCAGCUGCCACCCUGAAACUUAUUAGAGACAAGCUACCAAGGUUGCCAUCUCCUCGUGCCAGUGAAUCUGCAACUUCUGAGACAGAAAACUUGGAAGAUCCUGACAGUAAAAGAAGAAAACUAGAAGAAAGAGCUAAAGCUCCCCUCAUGCCUUUUGGAUUAGAUCUUCACUACUGGGGAGAGGAUCAGCCAAGUGCUGGGAAGAUUCUCAAAUUUACAUCUGAGCAUCGAUUUUGGGCACCCAGUGAAGUAGAGGAAGAGGUGGAAAACAAAGAAAUAACAGAAAUGUUAAAAACCAGGUAUAUAACAUUUGCUGGCAAGUUUGAGCCAGUAAAACACAAAUGUCGAGCACCCAUGCCUGGUGGAACUCUGUGUGAAAGACAAGAUCGGAUUAAGUGCCCUUUCCAUGGAAAGAUAAUUCCUCGGGAUGACUCUGGGAUUCCUGUAAAUGCAGAGGACAGAGCCAGAGAAGAAAAGAUGAAGUUUGAGAAGCAAAUGGCCCAGCCAGCUAAACCCCAUUAGUGAUGGACAGAAGAUAUCUGGUGGACUACAACCAGGAAGCUACUGGAAGUUGAUGGACUGCAAAGGAAAAUGGGAGAGAGGGAUCUAUCCAGCAAAGACACAAUGUAUAAUUGCAGAGGACAGCUUUUCUUUAAAUCUGCCUUCCUCCAGCAGGUCCUAGUUUUCUCUGGUUUGAGCUAUUUAUUCUAGGUUUGGCUGACUUGGUGUUUGACAAUUAUGUGUAUUAGUAAUGAAGCUACUGAGCCUUUCAUGAAACCUCUUGAGAGCCUGAGGAGCAGUUACCUGUAUUCAGGUAUUCAGUAUUCAGAGCAGGAAUCUGUAUUCAGAAAGGUGUGUGGAAUGAAUGUGCAUUUAAACAUACAAUUGACCCACCCAGUGUCCUUUAAUACUUGUUUGGCCAUCUUUGAGUGACUGUGCUUGGUGAUUACAGCACCACACCAGCCAGCGAUUAAUGAACACUUUCUGGUAUUUGUAGGUGUCAAAGUGCUACAUUUGCAGAUAGUUUCUGUCCCUGUCCAGGUAGAGCAAGUAUGGCAUCCAUCCUAAACUGGCAUCCAGCCAGCAGCACAGACACUGUUGAACUGUCAAACAAGAUAGGGGUGUGGAUGUUAUGUUAAAAAAGAAAGUUCCCAUCUUAGUUAUGACAAACUAAAACUAGAAGAUUAAACUGAUAGGUGUUGUUGAAAUCUCAAACUAGAACCUAAUAUUCUGGUAUAAAAAUCACUUGGACUGAAAAAUAUUGAUUUUUUUUUCCCUGUGAAAUUGCCAUUGCUUGAGGCUAGACAUUGUAUUUAUUUUUAUUACAGUGUCAGCUCAGUGUUGUUAGAGGCUUCUCACCUCUGCUCCACAAGGAUGUGUCUGUUAGUCCCAAACCAGUAUUGGCAUUGCUCCUUGUGUUAUUGAGUGUGGUUGUUAAGCUGAGAUGUAGAUGUCACACAAAGGUCCACCCCAUCUGGCUGGGGAUGUACUGCACAAGAUAUGGCACUUAAUUUGCACAAACCCCUCCAUGUUUCUAAAGCCAUAUGUAUACCAGAUUACCAGAUGUCACUAAAUACUUCUAUCAACUUUAUUUUCUUCUGCCUCACUAUUUUUACAUUUGCUUUAGAGCAUUUUCACCAACUCUUCUCUUCUCUUCUCUUCUCUUCUCUUCUCUUCUCUUCUCUUCUCUUCUCUUCUCUUCUCUUCUCUUCUCUUCUCUUCUCGGGGGUUGGGUUUUUUUUUUUUCUUUUUGUUUUUUUACUUGUUUUGAGGUUUAUGUGGUUUGGAGGGGUGUGUUUGAUUGGUUUUCAGUGGUGUUUGGUUUUGGUGUUUUUUUUUUUUUUUUUGUUUACAAAGUUCUUGAAGCAAAUCUGAGCAGUGCUGCUAUGGGAUAUACUACUGGGAACCCACUGAACAGCCAGAAACUGUUUGACAACAUCAUUAAUGAUGGCAGUUAGUAAAAUUGGGGAAAAAAAAACCCACUUUAAUUUGGGGAUCAGCUGUAUGGUUAAACUGCACCAAAAUUCUUCUCAUGUCUCCUUCCUUCUGAAUGGUAGAUUUAUUUAUAUCUUUGUGUGAUUGAAAGGGGGAACAGUUAUAUAUAAUAGUCAUAUGGUUUGUGUGCUAAUGACUGUGUUUUGACAGCACUGUCAUUGUUAUUAUGGGCCAUUUCUUAUCUUAGUAGAGAAUUUUACACUCUAGCUAGAGUCCACAGAAAGGUGCUUUGGGCUCUUCAGUUGUGGAACAGUGAAUCAGGUGGGAUUACGCUGACCCGCUAAUCUGCAGCGUUCAUCCUUUUCCAAUAGUUCGCACACAGGAGCAAAUUAAGUGCCUAUUUUUUGUGUCAACCCUGAAGAGUAUCUGGUUUUUCAGCCCUUAGUGACUUGUUAACAAACAGGUAUCAGGACAGGCUGGUGAAGGCAGGCCUCUGGCCACUCAGAUGUGAAAUAGCAUCUCUUUACUAACUACAGUAUUGAUUCCCGCCUACCCUUGCAAACUGUGUAAUUUUCUUUUCCCUGCUGCUAAACUCAGUAACAAUGUAUGAAGAGCUUUAGGGGCCCAUCAAUGCUCAAAAAGCCUGCUCUUCCCUGGCAUUCUAUUGAUUUUUCUCAAAAGCUUUUAAAUUGCUCCUUCAUUUUACUCAAAUGCUCAUUUCAUCUCUACUGGAUGCCGGCAUUUUUUCCUUGUGUUUAAACAAUUGCUCCAUUCACAGGGUUCCUAAACUGUGACGCCUUCUUAUUACUGGGAGAUAAACUGUUUAGACAGUUUUCCUUAAUCUUGGAUUAAUCGUUCCUGUAUCUGAAUUGUGCUGUUCUGUAUUCCCUCACUUCAAAAAAAAAAAAAAGAAAAAAUAAAGUCUGUGAGGUCUUAUUAUCCAUCAAAUAUAUGUGUUCUAUUUUCUCCCUUUGUAACUCUCCUGUGCAGCUCUUGAACAGCUUCGUUUUCCUCAUGCUUUUUGGCGUGUUGGAUUUUAAACAGUCCUUGCUUUCAUGUAUGAUGGUAGUUUAGAUCCAAACUUUCCUUGGAAAAUUGCUCUGGUAUUCCUUAACACCGUGUUCUUAAGUGAGGACAUUGCCUCUGACCUUCUUGAAAUGUUGUUAGCAGUGUUUGUCACACUCAGCGACCAUCUUGGUGUAUAAAUGAAGUUAUAUAGUCCUUUAGGACUGUUUAUUUUUCUACAUCUACAAAGUUGUUAUGUAAGAGGAGUAGACAUUUGGUGUUGCAAU
Cinclus cinclus is the source of this 4808-nucleotide RNA transcript. It is a transcript of the gene named UV stimulated scaffold protein A, with no coding region annotated. Lineage: Eukaryota; Metazoa; Chordata; Aves; Passeriformes; Cinclidae. The transcript has 13 exons. The record is from RefSeq and is a predicted model, not a curated record.